AACGAACGCUGGCGGCAGGCUUAACACAUGCAAGUCGAACGCGUGCAGCAAUGCACGAGUGGCGCACGGGUGAGUAACGCGUGGAUAUCUGCCUUUUGGUUCGGAAUAACCCCGGGAAACUGGGGCUAAUACCGGAUGGUUCCUACGGGAUAAAGAUUUAUCGCCAAAAGAUGAGUCCGCGUCCGAUUAGCUAGUUGGUGAGGUAAUGGCUCACCAAGGCGACGAUCGGUAGCUGGUCUGAGAGGACGAUCAGCCACACUGGGACUGAGACACGGCCCAGACUCCUACGGGAGGCAGCAGUGGGGAAUAUUGGACAAUGGGGGCAACCCUGAUCCAGCCAUGCCGCGUGGGUGAUGAAGGCCUUCGGGUUGUAAAGCUCUUUUGGCGGGGACGAUGAUGACGGUACCCGCAGAAUAAGCCCCGGCUAACUUCGUG
Molecule: ribosomal RNA, 435 nt
Filed under: uncultured bacterium
Lineage: Bacteria
Description: partial 16S ribosomal RNA
Rfam family: Bacterial small subunit ribosomal RNA
Source: RNAcentral